GCUUAGAGUUUGAUCCUGGCUCAGGAUGAACGCUGGCGGUAUGCCUAACACACGCAAGUCGAACGAAAUCUUCGGAUUGAGUGGCGGACGGGUGAGUAACGCGUGAGAAUCUGCCUUCAGGAUGGGGACAACAGUUAGAAAUGACUGCUAAUACCCAAUGUGCCGCAAGGUGAAAGUUUUUCGCCUGAAGAGGAGCUCGCGUCCGAUUAGCUAGUUGGGGUGGUAAAAGCGCACCAAGGCAACGAUCGGUAGCUGGUCUGAGAGGAUGAGCAGCCACACUGGGACUGAGACACGGCCCAGACUCCUACGGGAGGCAGCAGUGGGGAAUUUUCCGCAAUGGGCGCAAGCCUGACGGAGCAGUACCGCGUGAGGGAGGAAGGCUUUUGGGUUGUAAACCUCUUUUCUCAAGGAAGAAGAACUGACGGUACUUGAGGAAUCAGCAUCGGCUAACUCCGUGCCAGCAGCCGCGGUAAUACGGAGGAUGCAAGCGUUAUCCGGAAUUAUUGGGCGUAAAGCGUCCGCAGGUGGUACAUCAAGUCUGCUGUCAAAGACUAGGGCUUAACCCUGGAAAGGCAGUGGAAACUGAUGAACUAAGAGUACGGUAGGGGUAGAGGGAAUUCCCAG
Molecule: ribosomal RNA, 624 nt
Filed under: uncultured cyanobacterium
Lineage: Bacteria; Bacillati; Cyanobacteriota
Description: bacterial SSU rRNA
Rfam family: Bacterial small subunit ribosomal RNA
Source: RNAcentral